GACGAACCGUGCGAACGUUGUUCGGAAUCACUGGGCUUAAAGGGCGCGUAGGCGGCUCCGCCAGUCGGGGGUGAAAUCCCACGGCCUAACCGUGGAAGUGCCUCCGAUACUGCGGGGCUGGAGGGAGGUAGGGGCAGCGGGAACUUCGGGUGGAGCGGUGAAAUGCGUUGAUAUCCGAAGGAACGCCGGUGGCGAAAGCGCGCUGCUGCACCUCUUCUGACGCUGAGGCGCGAAAGCCAGGGGAGCAAACGGG
This 253-nucleotide ribosomal RNA is filed under the name uncultured bacterium. RNAcentral describes it as "partial 16S ribosomal RNA". It matches the Rfam family "Bacterial small subunit ribosomal RNA", at positions 524 to 776 of the family's 1533-position model. The record is from RNAcentral.